UCGUUUGCAGAUGCAGCUUCAUCAAGAUUCACAUGCCGGCCUCUACGUUCGUCAGAGGUACCGUGUUUCUCGGACAGCUAUAGUAGGUUCUGGUAUUGGGAAUCUUGAUGAUGCUGCAUCGGCAAGAGA
This 129-nucleotide microRNA precursor is filed under the name Punica granatum (pomegranate). RNAcentral describes it as "mir-172 microRNA precursor family". It matches the Rfam family "mir-172 microRNA precursor family". Rfam says of the family: mir-172 has been experimentally verified in Arabidopsis thaliana. Lineage: Eukaryota; Viridiplantae; Streptophyta; Magnoliopsida; Myrtales; Lythraceae. The record is from Rfam by way of RNAcentral.